CAGUGGGGAAUAUUGCACAAUGGGCGCAAGCCUGAUGCAGCCAUGCCGCGUGUAUGAAAAGGGCCUUCGGGUUGUAAAGUACUUUCAGUCGUGAGGAAGGUGUUAAGGUUAAUAACCUUAGCAAUUGACGUUAGCGACGGAAGAAGCACCGGCUAACUCCGUGCCAGCAGCCGCGGUAAUACGGAGGUGCGAGCGUUAAUCGGAAUUACUGGGCGUAAAGGGCACGCAGGCGGUUAAUUAAGUUGGAUGUGAAAUCCCCGGGCUUAACCUGGGAAUGGCAUUCAAGACUGGUUAGCUAGAGUCUUGUAGAGGGGGUAGAAUUCCAUGUGUAGCGGUGAAAUGCGUAGAGAUGUGGAGGAAUACCGGUGGCGAAGGCGGCCCCUGGACAAGACUGACGCUCAUGUGCGAAAGCGUGGGGAGCAAACAGGGAUUAGAUACC
Molecule: ribosomal RNA, 439 nt
Filed under: uncultured bacterium
Lineage: Bacteria
Description: bacterial SSU rRNA
Rfam family: Bacterial small subunit ribosomal RNA
Source: RNAcentral